Molecule: non-coding RNA, 32 nt
Filed under: Geobacter sulfurreducens KN400
Lineage: Bacteria; Pseudomonadati; Thermodesulfobacteriota; Desulfuromonadia; Geobacterales; Geobacteraceae
Source: RNAcentral
GUGCGCUCGCCCUCGGGUUCGGCUUUGGCACG